This 541-nucleotide long non-coding RNA is filed under the name Homo sapiens (human). RNAcentral's name for it is "HSALNT0361530". The record is from RNAcentral. Lineage: Eukaryota; Metazoa; Chordata; Mammalia; Primates; Hominidae.
AACUGAAGCACGGUAGAGAAAUUCAUCAUGGGAGGGAGGAGCUGAAAACCUGAGAGUGUAAGAUCCAAGAGGUCAUGGGCCUUUUUCUUUCUUUGUUUGCCAUGUUAUCUCCAACAUCUGGAACAGAGUCUGGCACAAAGGCUUCCGUGAAUUUGGAGAUUUUUCUGAGCUGGGAGGUGACCAAACAUAUCUACUUCUUUGAUCUCAACACUUCCUGAAAAACAGAUACUAACGUGGGUCAUGAUGUCAAUGAACCAAGAUUUUCAGAGAGGCAAGGCUAAGCACCAGCCAGGUCCUCCAUCUUCCAACCCCAAAAUUCAUCCAGAAUGUACCAGGAUGGGGCCUAGAAGUCAACUUCAAACUUUGAUCUUCAAUCCUACAAAGAAUGAUCAUCUCAGAAAACUUAGGGCAAAAGUAAAUAUGCAUGGAUUUACAAAAAUCUCACUCUUUCACCCAAGUUCUUUUUUAGUAGGCAUUACAAAAAACUGGCCAGAAAUCCCACCCUGGGAAAUCUAAUAGAAAUAAAAGCUCUUAUACGUAA